RNAcentral lists this ribosomal RNA (459 nucleotides) under uncultured bacterium. Its description in RNAcentral is "partial 16S ribosomal RNA". It matches the Rfam family "Bacterial small subunit ribosomal RNA", at positions 338 to 795 of the family's 1533-position model. The record is from RNAcentral.
CCUACGGGGGGCAGCAGUGAGGAAUAUUGGUCAAUGGCCGCAGGGCUGAACCAGCCAAGUCGCGUGAGGGAUGACGGUCCUAUGGAUUGUAAACCUCUUUUGUCAGGGAGCAAAGGGCGCCACGUGUGGCGCUUUGCGAGUACCUGAAGAAAAAGCAUCGGCUAACUCCGUGCCAGCAGCCGCGGUAAUACGGAGGAUGCGAGCGUUAUCCGGAUUUAUUGGGUUUAAAGGGUGCGCAGGCGGAAUGUCAAGUCAGCGGUAAAAUUUCGGGGCUCAACCCCGUCGUGCCGUUGAAACUGGCGUUCUUGAGUGAGCGAGAAGUAUGCGGAAGGCGUGGUGUAGCGGUGAAAUGCAUAGAUAUCACGCAGAACUCCGAUUGCGAAGGCAGCAUACCGGCGCUCAACUGACGCUCAUGCACGAAAGCGUGGGUAUCGAACAGGAUUAGAUACCCCAGUAGUC